This 301-nucleotide ribosomal RNA is filed under the name uncultured bacterium. RNAcentral's name for it is "partial 16S ribosomal RNA". It matches the Rfam family "Bacterial small subunit ribosomal RNA", at positions 509 to 807 of the family's 1533-position model. The record is from RNAcentral.
CAGCAGCCGCGGUAAUACAGAGGGUGCGAGCGUUAAUCGGAUUUACUGGGCGUAAAGCGUGCGUAGGCGGCUUUUUAAGUCGGAUGUGAAAUCCCUGAGCUUAACUUAGGAAUUGCAUUCGAUACUGGGAAGCUAGAGUAUGGGAGAGGAUGGUAGAAUUCCAGGUGUAGCGGUGAAAUGCGUAGAGAUCUGGAGGAAUACCGAUGGCGAAGGCAGCCAUCUGGCCUAAUACUGACGCUGGGGUGCGAAAGCAUGGGGAGCAAACAGGAUCAGAGACCCCAGUAGUCCCUGUCUCUUAUAC